CUUUUUUUUUUUUUUUUUUUUUUUUUUUUUUAAACACUAUAUCUGAGAGUUCCUAGACUGAAUACUCCAAGAGACCUGGGCAUAUGGGAGCUGUAAGACUUCUUAUAAUGACCUAGCCUCAAAGUCCCCAAAUGUCACAUCUCUGCAUUCAGUUGUUUAAGCAUUCAGUUGUGAAAGGGGGAAGGGAAUCAGACUCUACCUUUCAGUUGGAGAAGUAGCAAAAAUUUUGCCACCAUGUAUAGUCCAUUGUAUCAGGUUAAUAAAAAUUCUGAACUCAAUCUCCUCCUGCCCCAUCAUUUCCUAUUGGUGCUCCCCCCUUAAACAAGGCAACCACUAACCAGAGGGCAAAGGAGCUUGUUAAUACAGUCUUUAUAGGUCAGCUUCCCAGGAACAGAGUAGGACCUGGAGGGACAAACACUCUCCUAAUCCUCAUUGCUUAUUUUAGGGCUUUCAAGUUGUGUGCCAGAGUUAUGCAGGGGUAUGUUCUUGAGAACAUAGGAAUGACCAUGAGGACACAGAGAAUGGGGUUAAGAGGGAAUGGGCAGUUAGAGGUGCUUGUUUAUUUAAUCAAGGCAGCCAGUUGAAGCAAACAAGUCAAGACAAAAUUUCACCCCAUCUUUUGUAGGUAAGUACAGUGUUAAAUUACAAUUGACCCUCUGUUAGGAGAAUGCAUGGAUCUCCACAGGGAAAAAUUAAGCACUGAGGACAAAGCCUCUAGUCCAUGAGCACUGUAAUCACACAUCGCGAUGAGAACCCGUAUUUUAAAAUCUGUAGAAUUUAUCACACAUUAUUUCACAUUUCACUGCUCUGCUUACUGCUUAUUGGUUUGUGGUUACUUGCAUACAACAGUAAAGUUUCAGAAAAAGUUUAGUUACAGAAAGACAAUUAUUUAAUGCAGGAAGGAUAACCCAUUGCAUUGGAGGAUUGGAAGACAUCUUUUAAAGUUCUUAUAUUAUAAAUUUAAUUAUGAGUUUCUAUGCAGUGAGUAAGGUCUUAAAUUCUUGCCAAGAUUUCAAAAGGGCUUUGUGAAAGUAUGUCGGCUAAAUCACGAUGGGUAUAUCACUGCUAAUGGUGCCCGUCACACGUUGUGAAACAUAGACUCCAGAAUUAAUUCUGCCCCCAAAUUAGGUCAUUGCAAAAUGCCUCUUAAAACUGCCAAUUUUUAAUUUGCAGGACAAUGAGAUGGAGAUGAGAAGAAAGCAAAAGGAAGACUCCAAUUCCUUCUUGUAAAGCACAGUGGGGAUCGGACAAAACAGAAUAGGAAGGCCGAGCCCUCUGAAACGGAUGCUUUUUUGUGUGUUAAUCCCACUUAAAUAUAGGUGAUGAAUUAAUUUAAACGUGGGCUAACCGGCCUGUUCUGCACUGCAUCCGGGUAGUGCCUUGCUCUCAAGUUAACCUGAUUGCGCAGAGGUGCCCUUGUUUCCUGACUUCAUCCCCAAACCAUCACGAUUAUUUCAGUUUACCUUCUCCUUUUCCCAGAACAUCCUGUUUGCAGUCAUGCAAAGGGAGUGUUUGGUGCAAAGACGCCUAAUUCAUAAUUAGCAUCG
RNAcentral lists this long non-coding RNA (1547 nucleotides) under Canis lupus familiaris (dog). RNAcentral describes it as "lncRNA (ENSCAFG00845030367.1)". Lineage: Eukaryota; Metazoa; Chordata; Mammalia; Carnivora; Canidae. The record is from RNAcentral.